GCGAGUAUAGAUCAACGGUAGAUCGAUAGCCUUCCAAGCUAAUGGUAUGAGUUCGAAUCUCAUUAUUCGCU
Molecule: transfer RNA, 71 nt
Filed under: Phaeocystis cordata
Lineage: Eukaryota; Haptophyta; Phaeocystales; Phaeocystaceae
Also listed under: 1 other name
Description: tRNA-Gly
Rfam family: tRNA
About the family: Transfer RNA (tRNA) molecules are approximately 80 nucleotides in length. Their secondary structure includes four short double-helical elements and three loops (D, anti-codon, and T loops).
Source: RNAcentral